GCACAACGCGAAGAACCUUACCCACCUUUGACAUGUACGGAAUCCUUUGGAGAUAGAGGAGUGCUCGAAAGAGAGCCGUAACACAGGUGCUGCAUGGCUGUCGUCAGCUCGUGUCGUGAGAUGUUGGGUUAAGUCCCGCAACGAGCGCAACCCUUGCCAUUAGUUGCUACAUUUAGUUGAGCACUCUAAUGGGACUGCCGGUGACAAACCGGAGGAAGGUGGGGAUGACGUCAAGUCCUCAUGGCCCUUAUAGGUGGGGCUACACACGUCAUACAAUGGCUGGUACAAAGGGUUGCCAACCCGCGAGGGGGAGCUAAUCCCAUAAAGCCAGUCGUAGUCCGGAUCGCAGUCUGCAACUCGACUGCGUGAAGUCGGAAUCGCUAGUAAUCGUGGAUCAGAAUGUCACGGUGAAUACGUUCCCGGGUCUGUACACACCG
This 437-nucleotide ribosomal RNA is filed under the name uncultured bacterium. Its description in RNAcentral is "bacterial SSU rRNA". It matches the Rfam family "Bacterial small subunit ribosomal RNA", at positions 954 to 1392 of the family's 1533-position model. The record is from RNAcentral.